Molecule: ribosomal RNA, 484 nt
Filed under: uncultured bacterium
Lineage: Bacteria
Description: partial 16S ribosomal RNA
Rfam family: Bacterial small subunit ribosomal RNA
Source: RNAcentral
AUUGAACGCUGGCGGCAGGCCUAACACAUGCAAGUCGAGCGGAUGAAGGGAGCUUGCUCCUGGAUUCAGCGGCGGACGGGUAAGUAAUGCCUAGGAAUCUGCCUGGUAGUGGGGGAUAACGUCCGGGAACGGGCGCUAAUACCGCAUACGUCCUGAGGGAGAAAGUGGGGGUUCUUCGGACCUCACGCUAUCAGAUGAGCCUAGGUCGGAUUAGCUAGUUGGUGGGGUAAAGGCCUACCAAGGCGACGAUCCGGAACUGGUCUGAGAGGAUGAUCAGUCACACUGGAACUGAAACACGGUCCAGACUCCAACGGGAGGCAGCGGUGGGGAAUAUUGGACAAUGGGCGAAAGCCUGAUCCAGCCAUGCCGCGUGGGUGAGAAAGGUCUUCGGAUUUUAAAGCACUUUAAGUUGGGAGGACGGGCAGUAAGUUAAUACCUUGCUGUUUUGACGUUACCAACAGAAUAAGCACCGGCUAACUUCGUG